This 763-nucleotide ribosomal RNA is filed under the name uncultured marine eukaryote. RNAcentral's name for it is "SSU rRNA". It matches the Rfam family "Eukaryotic small subunit ribosomal RNA", at positions 613 to 1377 of the family's 1831-position model. The record is from RNAcentral.
UUGCGGUUAAAAAGCUCGUAGUUGGAUCUCGGCGGCUAGAGGGCGGUAUGCUUUGUAGCAUUACUGCCCUAUUAGCCGUAGUUUUGCUAGAGGUUCCUGGGUGCUCUUAAUCGAGUGUCUAGGGAUGCUAGCAGGUUUACUUUGAAAAAAUUAGAGUGCUCAAAGCAGGCUAUUACGCUUGAAUAUUCGUGCAUGGAAUAAUAGAAUAGGAAGUUGUUUCUAUUUUGUUGGUUUUCGGAAAUCGACUUAAUGAUUAAUAGGGACAGUCGGGGGCAUUUGUAUUCAAACGACAGAGGUGAAAUUCUUGGACCGUUUGAAGACAAGCUACUGCGAAAGCAUUUGCCAAGAAUGUUUUCAUUAAUCAAGAACGAAAGUUAGAGGUUCGAAGGCGAUUAGAUACCGCCCUAGUUCUAACCAUAAACGAUGCCAGCUAGCGAUCUGAGGACGUUUUUUUUGUAGACUCCUCAGGAAUCUUCCGGGAAACCAAAGCGUGUGGGUUCCGGGGGAAGUAUGGUUGCAAAGCUGAAACUUAAAGGAAUUGACGGAAGGGCACCACCAGGAGUGGAGCCUGCGGCUUAAUUUGACUCAACACGGGAAAUCUCACCAGGCCCGGACACUGGAAGGAUUGACAGAUUGAGAGCUCUUUCUCGAUUCGGUGGGUGGUGGUGCAUGGCCGUUCUUAGUUGGUGGAGUGAUUUGUCUGGUUAAUUCCGAUAACGAACGAGACUCUGUCCUGCUAAAUAGUGUCAGCCUCUCUUUUGGG